GCCCUCGCGGGCAUAUGGUCAAUAUGAAAGAAAACAGAGAAGAUCAGCAUGGUCCCUGCACUAAGGAUGACACAUGAGACGCAAGUGAGCUAAAGUCAUUUU
Molecule: small nuclear RNA, 102 nt
Filed under: Dothistroma septosporum NZE10
Lineage: Eukaryota; Fungi; Ascomycota; Dothideomycetes; Mycosphaerellales; Mycosphaerellaceae
Source: RNAcentral